UAUGAUGCAGUUUGCAGUUGUUUAAUGAUAUAAUCACCUCCACGAUGAGAUCUGUUGUGAGUAGCCAAUAUGUCGAAAGGGAGUUUCCUUGGCCUGCUUCCAAUAUAGGAGGAUUUUGUGAUAAAGCUCGCUGGCUUUUGCUUAUGCUGAAUCUUCUAGCUGGCUCCGAUUCAUCUGACCUCUGGGCUUUGGGAAUUGAGCUAGCAGUUUGUCUGCUGAUCUUUGGGUUUGUCAUCCUCUGCAGUCUGGAUCUUGGGUUUGCCAGCCCCUGCAGCUCCAUGAGUCAGAAGACGCCUCCAUACUGACCCACAUCACAGACUUGGAAGUUUCCAGCCUCUCUAACCAUAACUCAGCUGUCAUGCUGUGAGAAGCCCCAGCCCUAUGAAGAGUCCACAUGUAGACACUCCAUUCAGUUAUUCCAGCUGGACUCCCAGCUACCAACCUGUAUCAACCACCAGCCUUUUGAGGGAACCACAUUGGAUCUUCCAGCCCAUUUAUUCCAUCAGAUGACUCCAGCUGCAGCCAAAAUCUCACUACUACCACAUGGGAAGCGUCAGGAGAUUAAACAAGCAAGUGAUCAAGCAGAGAUGGGGGAAGAUAGAUGCCAUACCACAUGAAGAUCACUAAGGAACCAAGGAAUAGAACCUGAAGAGGUAAGAAUUUUCCCCCAGAGCUGACAAAUAGAGAGGGUCAUCCCCUAGAGCCAGUGCCCUGAAUUUGGACUUCUACCCUCCUAACUGUGAGAAAAUAAAUUUUCUGUUUGUUAAGGCCACUCACUUGCAGUAUUUAUGUGAUAGCAGCAGUAGAUAACUAAGACAGGGUCCUAAUGCUAUAUGAUUAAUGUCCUAUAAAAGACUGAAGACAGCCAUGUGACAUUGGAGGUGGAAUUGGAGUUAUUCAGUUGCAAGCCAAAGAAUGCCUGAGGCCACUUGAAGUUGGGAGACAUAAGACAGGGUCUUCCUCUACAGAUGUCAGAGGGUAUGGCCCUGCUGACACCCUGGGUUUAGACUCCUACCCUCCACACUAUGAAACAAUCAAUUUCCAUUCCUCUAAGUCAGCCACUUUGUGGUACUAGGAAACUCAUCAAGGAGAGAAAUAAACAUCACUCAAGAAGAGCUAAAGUCAUCAAUUGACUUAUCUCUUUAUUUGGGAAGAUGGUGAACAUGUUUAAGUUGUAUGUGGGAUAGUUUCAACAUGGUCGGUGGAAAUAAGUUUGCUAUUGCUUUUAUCUGGAAGAAAAAAAGGUUUAAAGAGACAUGUUUGGUUGUCAAGGAAUGGACUGUGGUAGUUUUGGAGUAUGUCAACUUAGCUAAGCUAUAACUACAUUUCUUAGAAUUUCCUUUUCUGAAUGUGUGCUAAGAUCAGGGUUGAUCACAAGAGAAACGUACUGAAGAUUCGGAAGACAAAGAUGAAGCUGCAGUCCUUAUGUUUGAGAGAAGGCAGGUAUAGAGUUCCAGGUAUUGCUCAUGUGUGCCGUUGCCGAUCAGCAGACUCAAGUCAUUGGCAUAGACUAGCUCUUCUUCAGCUUCCGCCAUGUCUCCUUCAACUCUUCUGUGUCCUAGGCCAGUGUACGUGUGUGGUGAAGGUCAUCAACUUCUUCUAGAGUUUUCCUUCAAGUACCUGGCUUGAUGACUUACAGAGACAUUUGGUCCACACCAGAUGCAGAAGCUAGAGCCGUCCAUGGACGUUGUCACCAGCUCCCUUUCAUGGUCCCUGCCUGGAAGCUCCACAGAAAGCUGUUCAGCAUCCUAGCAACAUUCAAGCCUCCACUAACAGAUGGUGCAUUGGUCAGGAAUUGAAUCCAGGUCUCCUGCAUGGAAGGUGAGAAUUCUACCACUGAACCACCAAUACCCUCCCUCCCCCUGGAAAAAAAAAUUAUGUUGAAGUCUUAACCCUGUACCCAUAAAUGUGACCCUGUUUGUCAUGUAAUGAGGUAUACUGAGUAGGGUGGGUCCUAAACCUAAUCAUUUCUGACUGAUGUCUUAUAAAAAGAGCAGGAUAGACACAGAGACACACACAGGGUGAAGACAAACACCAAGGAAUGCCAAGGAACUGCUGGGGCUAUGAACAAG
Molecule: long non-coding RNA, 2072 nt
Organism: Loxodonta africana (African savanna elephant)
Lineage: Eukaryota; Metazoa; Chordata; Mammalia; Proboscidea; Elephantidae
Exons: 5
Source: RefSeq, a predicted model, not a curated record